AGCGAACGCUGGCGGCAGGCUUAACACAUGCAAGUCGAGCGGGCAGCCUCGGAUGUCAGCGGCAGACGGGUGAGCAACACGGGGGAACGUACCCUUCGGUUCGGAACAACUCUGGGAAACUGGAGCUAAUACCGGAUACGCCCUUAGGGGGGAAGGUUUACUGGCGAAGGAUCGGCCCGCGUCUGAUUGGCGAGUUGGUUGGGUAACGGCCUACCAAGGCGAGGAUCAGUAGCUGGGCUGAGAGGCGGAUCCGCCGCACCGGGGCUGCGGCACGGCCCAGAAUCGUACGGAGAGCAGCAGUAGGGAGUAUAGGAGGAGGAGGCCAGACCUGGUAAAGCCAUGCCGCGUGAGAGAUGCAGGCCUUAGGGUUGUAAAGCUCUUUUGUCCGGGGCGAUAAUGACGGUACCGGAAGAAUAAGCCCCGGCUAACUUCGUG
This 435-nucleotide ribosomal RNA is filed under the name uncultured bacterium. Its description in RNAcentral is "partial 16S ribosomal RNA". It matches the Rfam family "Bacterial small subunit ribosomal RNA", at positions 30 to 507 of the family's 1533-position model. The record is from RNAcentral.